AAAGAUUAAGCCAUGCAUGUCUAAGUAUAAGCAAUUAUACCGCGAAACUGCGAAUGGCUCAUUAUAUAAGUUAUCGUUUAUUUGAUAGCACAUUUACCUACUUGGAUAACCGUGGUAAUUCUAGAGCUAAUACAUGCUAAAAAUCCCGACUUCGGAAGGGAUGUAUUUAUUAGAUUAAAAGCCAACGCCCUUCGGGGCUCUCUGGUGAUUCAUGAUAACUGAUCGAAUCGCAUGGCCUUGCGCCGGCGAUGGUUCAUUCAAAUUUCUUCCCUAUCAACUUUCGAUGCGAGGGUCUUGUCCUCGCAUGGUUG
This 311-nucleotide ribosomal RNA is filed under the name uncultured fungus. RNAcentral's name for it is "SSU rRNA". It matches the Rfam family "Eukaryotic small subunit ribosomal RNA", at positions 39 to 352 of the family's 1831-position model. The record is from RNAcentral. Lineage: Eukaryota; Fungi.